GGACGAACGCUGGCGGCGUGCUUAACACAUGCAAGUCGAGCGGUAAGGCCCUUUCGGGGGUACACGAGCGGCGAACGGGUGAGUAACACGUGGGUGACCUGCCCUCAGCUCUGGGAUAAGCCUGGGAAACCGGGUCUAAUACUGGAUAUGACUCCAUGACGCAUGUUGUGGGGUGGAAAGCCUUGUGCGGCUGAGGAUGGGCCCGCGGCCUAUCAGCUUGUUGGUGGGGUGAGGCCUACCAAGGCGACGACGGGUAGCCGGCCUGAGAGGGCGACCGGCCACACUGGGACUGAGACACGGCCCAGACUCCUACGGGAGGCAGCAGUGGGGAAUCUUGCGCAAGUGGGCGAAAGCCUGACGCAGCGACGCCGCGUGAGGAUGACGGCCUCGG
This 391-nucleotide ribosomal RNA is filed under the name uncultured bacterium. RNAcentral's name for it is "bacterial SSU rRNA". It matches the Rfam family "Bacterial small subunit ribosomal RNA", at positions 27 to 420 of the family's 1533-position model. The record is from RNAcentral.